This 84-nucleotide transfer RNA is filed under the name Candidatus Opitulatrix cubana. RNAcentral describes it as "tRNA-Leu". It matches the Rfam family "tRNA". Rfam says of the family: Transfer RNA (tRNA) molecules are approximately 80 nucleotides in length. Their secondary structure includes four short double-helical elements and three loops (D, anti-codon, and T loops). Further hydrogen bonds mediate the characteristic L-shaped molecular structure. tRNAs have two regions of fundamental functional importance: the anti-codon, which is responsible for specific mRNA codon recognition, and the 3' end, to which the tRNAs corresponding amino acid is attached (by aminoacyl-tRNA synthetases). tRNAs cope with the degeneracy of the genetic code in two manners: having more than one tRNA (with a specific anti-codon) for a particular amino acid; and 'wobble' base-pairing, i.e. permitting non-standard base-pairing at the 3rd anti-codon position. Lineage: Bacteria; Bacillati; Actinomycetota; Actinomycetes; Bifidobacteriales; Bifidobacteriaceae. The record is from RNAcentral.
GCCCAAGUGGUGAAAUUGGUAGACACGCAAGAUUUAGGUUCUUGUGCAGGAAACUGCGUGGGGGUUCAAGUCCCUUCUUGGGCA